Molecule: ribosomal RNA, 573 nt
Filed under: uncultured bacterium
Lineage: Bacteria
Description: partial 16S ribosomal RNA
Rfam family: Bacterial small subunit ribosomal RNA
Source: RNAcentral
UGGGGAAUUUUGGACAAUGGGCGAAAGCCUGAUCCAGCAAUGCCGCGUGUGUGAAGAAGGCCUUCGGGUUGUAAAGCACUUUUGUCCGGAAAGAAAUCCUUGGCUCUAAUACAGUCGGGGGAUGACGGUACCGGAAGAAUAAGCACCGGCUAACUACGUGCCAGCAGCCGCGGUAAUACGUAGGGUGCAAGCGUUAAUCGGAAUUACUGGGCGUAAAGCGUGCGCAGGCGGUUUGCUAAGACCGAUGUGAAAUCCCCGGGCUCAACCUGGGAACUGCAUUGGUGACUGGCAGGCUAGAGUAUGGCAGAGGGGGGUAGAAUUCCACGUGUAGCAGUGAAAUGCGUAGAGAUGUGGAGGAAUACCGAUGGCGAAGGCAGCCCCCUGGGCCAAUACUGACGCUCAUGCACGAAAGCGUGGGGAGCAAACAGGAUUAGAUACCCUGGUAGUCCACGCCCUAAACGAUGUCAACUAGUUGUUGGGGAUUCAUUUCCUAGUAACGUAGCUAACGCGUGAAGUUGACCGCCUGGGGAGUACGUCGCAAGAUUAAAACUCAAAGGAAUUGACGGGGUCAUA